Molecule: ribosomal RNA, 1405 nt
Filed under: Aequorivita sp.
Lineage: Bacteria; Pseudomonadati; Bacteroidota; Flavobacteriia; Flavobacteriales; Flavobacteriaceae
Description: bacterial SSU rRNA
Rfam family: Bacterial small subunit ribosomal RNA
Source: RNAcentral
GGCCUACACAUGCAAGUCGAGGGGUAGAGGGUGCUUGCACCCUUGAGACCGGCGCACGGGUGCGUAACGCGUAUGCAACCUACCUAUUGCAGGGGAAUAGCCCAGGGAAACUUGGAUUAAUGCCCCAUAGUCCAUAUUGAGAGCAUUUGAGAUAUGGUAAAGAUUUAUCGGCAAUAGAUGGGCAUGCGUCCCAUUAGCUAGUUGGUAUGGUAACGGCAUACCAAGGCUACGAUGGGUAGGGGCCCUGAGAGGGGGAUCCCCCACACUGGUACUGAGACACGGACCAGACUCCUACGGGAGGCAGCAGUGAGGAAUAUUGGACAAUGGGCGGGAGCCUGAUCCAGCCAUGCCGCGUGCAGGAAGACUGCCCUAUGGGUUGUAAACUGCUUUUUUACGGGAAGAAACACCCCCACGUGUGGGGGCUUGACGGUACCGUACGAAUAAGGACCGGCUAACUCCGUGCCAGCAGCCGCGGUAAUACGGAGGGUCCGAGCGUUAUCCGGAAUCAUUGGGUUUAAAGGGUCCGUAGGCGGGCGUCUAAGUCAGUGGUGAAAUCUCGCGGCUCAACCGUGAAAUUGCCAUUGAUACUGGUCGCCUUGAAUUAGUGUGAAGUGGCUAGAAUAUGUAGUGUAGCGGUGAAAUGCUUAGAUAUUACAUAGAAUACCGAUUGCGAAGGCAGGUCACUAACACUAUAUUGACGCUGAUGGACGAAAGCGUGGGGAGCGAACAGGAUUAGAUACCCUGGUAGUCCACGCCGUAAACGAUGGAUACUAGCUGUCCGGCCUGCAUUGGUAGGCUGGGUGGCCAAGCGAAAGUGAUAAGUAUCCCACCUGGGGAGUACGUUCGCAAGAAUGAAACUCAAAGGAAUUGACGGGGGCCCGCACAAGCGGUGGAGCAUGUGGUUUAAUUCGAUGAUACGCGAGGAACCUUACCAGGGCUUAAAUGUAGUCUGACAGGGGUGGAAACACCCCCUUCUUCGGACAGACUGCAAGGUGCUGCAUGGUUGUCGUCAGCUCGUGCCGUGAGGUGUCAGGUUAAGUCCUAUAACGAGCGCAACCCCUGUCGUUAGUUGCCAGCAUGUAAAGAUGGGAACUCUAACGAGACUGCCGGUGCAAACCGUGAGGAAGGUGGGGAUGACGUCAAAUCAUCACGGCCCUUACGUCCUGGGCCACACACGUGCUACAAUGGCAGGUACAAUGGGCAGCCACGCCGCAAGGCGGAGCGAAUCCACAAAACCUGUCUCAGUUCGGAUCGGGGUCUGCAACUCGACCCCGUGAAGCUGGAAUCGCUAGUAAUCGGAUAUCAGCCAUGAUCCGGUGAAUACGUUCCCGGGCCUUGUACACACCGCCCGUCAAGCCAUGGAAGCUGGAAGCACCUGAAGUCCGUCACCGCGAGGAGCGGCCUA